This 72-nucleotide transfer RNA is filed under the name Ovis aries (sheep). It matches the Rfam family "tRNA". From Rfam's summary of the family: Transfer RNA (tRNA) molecules are approximately 80 nucleotides in length. Their secondary structure includes four short double-helical elements and three loops (D, anti-codon, and T loops). The record is from Rfam by way of RNAcentral. Lineage: Eukaryota; Metazoa; Chordata; Mammalia; Artiodactyla; Bovidae.
UCCCUGGUGGCUCAGAUGGUAAAGCGUCUAUCUACAGUGUGGGAGACCCGGGUUCGAUCCCCGGGUUGGGAA